GGACUCAUGGUGAAACUGGAUAUCACACUAGUCUUCUAAACUUGUAUUACAGGUUCGAGUCCUGUUGAGUUCGCCA
RNAcentral lists this transfer RNA (76 nucleotides) under Rhodobiaceae bacterium. RNAcentral's name for it is "tRNA-Arg". It matches the Rfam family "tRNA". Rfam says of the family: Transfer RNA (tRNA) molecules are approximately 80 nucleotides in length. Their secondary structure includes four short double-helical elements and three loops (D, anti-codon, and T loops). The record is from RNAcentral. Lineage: Bacteria; Pseudomonadati; Pseudomonadota; Alphaproteobacteria; Hyphomicrobiales; Rhodobiaceae.